This 497-nucleotide ribosomal RNA is filed under the name uncultured bacterium. Its description in RNAcentral is "partial 16S ribosomal RNA". It matches the Rfam family "Bacterial small subunit ribosomal RNA", at positions 28 to 507 of the family's 1533-position model. The record is from RNAcentral.
GAUGAACGCUGGCGGCGUGCCUAAUACAUGCAAGUCGAGCGAACGGACGAGGAUUUUUCUUUUCUUAUGUUAGCGGCGGAUGGGUGAGGAACACGUGGAUGACUGAUCGUGAGGACUGGGGUAAGGUCGCGAGAGCUGAUCUAAUAUCCGAUAAUAGGGUGAACGUGAGGGUUCUACAGUGCUAGACGGACUUGCUGUCACUUAGACAUGGUUCCGCGCUGGAUUAGCUAGUUGGUAAGGUAACGGCUUACCAAGGCAACGAUGCAUAGCCGACCUGAGAGGGUGAUCGGCCACACUGGAACUGAGACACGGUCCAGACUCCUACGGGAGGCAGCAGUAGGGAAUAUUCCGCAAUGGGCGAAAGCCUGAGCGAGCCACGCCGCGUGAGUGAUGAAGGUCUUCGGAUCGUAAAGCUCUGUUAUUUGGGAAGAAGAUAAGUAUAAGUAAAUGUGCACAUCUUGACGGUACCUAAAGAGAAAGCAACGGCUAACUACGUG